This 497-nucleotide ribosomal RNA is filed under the name uncultured bacterium. Its description in RNAcentral is "partial 16S ribosomal RNA". It matches the Rfam family "Bacterial small subunit ribosomal RNA", at positions 28 to 507 of the family's 1533-position model. The record is from RNAcentral.
GAUGAACGCUGGCGGCGUGCCUAAUACAUGCAAGUCGAGCGAACAGACGAGGAGCUUGCUCCUCUGACGUUAGCGGCGGACGGGUGAGUAACACGUGGAUAACCUACCUAUAAGACUGGGAUAACUUCGGGAAACCGGAGCUAAUACCGGAUAAUAUAUUGAACCGCAUGGUUCAAUAGUGAAAGACGGUUUUGCUGUCACUUAUAGAUGGAUCCGCGCCGCAUUAGCUAGUUGGUAAGGUAACGGCUUACCAAGGCAACGAUGCGUAGCCGACCUGAGAGGGUGAUCGGCCACACUGGAACUGAGACACGGUCCAGACUCCUACGGGAGGCAGCAGUAGGGAAUCUUCCGCAAUGGGCGAAAGCCUGACGGAGCAACGCCGCGUGAGUGAUGAAGGUCUUCGGAUCGUAAAACUCUGUUAUUAGGGAAGAACAAAUGUGUAAGUAACUAUGCACGUCUUGACGGUACCUAAUCAGAAAGCCACGGCUAAGUACGUG